UACGUAGGUGGCAAGCGUUAUCCGGAAUUAUUGGGCGUAAAGCGCGCGCAGGCGGCUAUCCAAGUCAGUGGUGAAAGCCCGGAGCUCAACUCCGGAACUGCCAUUGAAACUGUUUAGCUUGAGGACGAGAGAGGUGAGUGGAAUUCCCAGUGUAGAGGUGAAAUUCGUAGAUAUUGGGAAGAACACCGGUGGCGAAGGCGGCUCACUGGCUCGUAUCUGACGCUCAGGCGCGACAGCGUGGGGAUCAAACAGG
This 253-nucleotide ribosomal RNA is filed under the name uncultured bacterium. Its description in RNAcentral is "partial 16S ribosomal RNA". It matches the Rfam family "Bacterial small subunit ribosomal RNA", at positions 524 to 776 of the family's 1533-position model. The record is from RNAcentral.